CAAUGUGGCGCACCAACAAACGUUGGGCUAGUUUUAUGGCAUUUUGGGCUGGUUUUGUGCAUUCGUUGUUCUGGAAAUGUUUACUUAACCUGGCUGUAAAUUAUGUUGUGAGUGUCAUCAUGAGCACGAGGAAGGUGGCAGUGACAUUUAUGCAGUUUUAUGGCCAGCCUCAGAAAAGAAAAGUAAGCUGAGAGCAGCGAGAAAAUGAGUACCAGUCAGAUGAUAGGAAUAUACAGUAGCACAAGAGAGUAAAGAAAGAGAGGGAGAGAGACCAU
Esox lucius (northern pike) is the source of this 275-nucleotide long non-coding RNA. RefSeq lists it as uncharacterized. The record is from RefSeq and is a predicted model, not a curated record. NCBI's taxonomy places the organism in Eukaryota, Metazoa, Chordata, Actinopteri, Esociformes, Esocidae. The transcript has 3 exons.